This 1009-nucleotide long non-coding RNA is filed under the name Vigna radiata. RNAcentral describes it as "long non-coding RNA (VRAD_LNC005665)". The record is from RNAcentral. Lineage: Eukaryota; Viridiplantae; Streptophyta; Magnoliopsida; Fabales; Fabaceae.
AGAAAAGCAUAAAUCCUCCCAUUUCAAAUUUUCAGUUGCUCAAGAAGCACUCCUCCUUAGUUGAUAGAAAGAAUGAAUAUUAUCAAGAUGUCUAGUGGACUUGAACAAGAGAUGUCAAAAGAAAAAUUCAAUUUAAAACAUGAAGAAACAAUUUAUGUUUUUCUUUUCUACCUAAUUUAUGUAUUAUUGUGACUUUUAACUCUCGCUAAAAUUCUCUCUAGCGUUACCUUUGCCUUAAUUAUUAGGAUUUAAGUAUAACAGGGAACUUGAACUUAAAGGACUAGUCCGUUAGGUCAGAAAUAUCAUAAAAGCCUAUCAUAUCAAGUAGAUUUGUUUUUUUAACAAUAGCAAACUUUAUCAGUCACAAGAAGUAUGAAUAGGAAUUGGGGACGAGUGCAAUCUAAAUUUUACUAUCUCAUCUAUAUUUUUAAAGUUACGUAUAUGAAAUUUUUAUCUAAUUCUUAUCUCCAUCGUUACUCUAUCUCUACAAUUUUAUCUAUUCUUUUACUAUUCUCUUUAAAUUAAAAAUUUUCGGAAUUGAACUAACUUAGGGGAUUGAGUAAUUCGAAAUAGAUUGCACAAAUUAUCCUCGACCUCUCAUCAUUAAACAGCAGAAACUCCAUCACCGUUACCAGGAUCUACCGAUUCACAGCCCACCUGCACAGUAGCAGAUCCACCUCUCCACCGAGUAGCAACAACCAUUGUUGAAGCGAUAUAAGCGCCCGUAGCUCUACGACCUCGUUGUUCGGUGCCGCCACAUUCAUCAUGUCGCAAAGCUUCAUCACGACGACAAAGCCCAAGCUGGAGCAUCGACUUUGCAGCCUUAGCGAUCUGGAAAAGCUACUGAAUCGGGAUUUACAGGUGUAGUGAUACCAAACGAUGGCAUUGUCUGGGAGGGAGAAGGGAAUUUGGGAGAAUGGGUUUCUAUGGAGUUUGGGAGAAGCAACUGUAUUAGGGAUCUGAAUGUUUAUUGACAUAUAAUUCCAUUAAUAAUUUAUUCCAACAUCGA